UAUGUGGAUUUGAAAUCAUAUA
RNAcentral lists this microRNA (22 nucleotides) under Apis mellifera (honey bee). RNAcentral describes it as "ame-miR-3716a-3p". Lineage: Eukaryota; Metazoa; Arthropoda; Insecta; Hymenoptera; Apidae. The record is from miRBase by way of RNAcentral.